GAUGAACGCUAGCGGCAGGCCUAACACAUGCAAGUCGAGGGGCAUCGCGGUGCAGCAAUGCACUGGCGGCGACCGGCGUACGGGUGCGUAACGCGUAUGCAACCUGCCCCGCACCGGGGGAUAGCCCGCCGAAAGGCGGAUUAAUACCCCAUGGUCCCGGGGGCCCGCAUGGGCGAUCCGGGUAAAGCCUUGGCGGUGCGGGAUGGGCAUGCGUGCCAUUAGCUGGCUGGUGGGGUAACGGCCCACCAGGGCAACGAUGGCUAGGGGGUCUGAGAGGAUGGUCCCCCACACUGGUACUGAGACACGGACCAGACUCCUACGGGAGGCAGCAGUGAGGAAUAUUGGUCAAUGGGCGGAAGCCUGAACCAGUCAUGCCGCGUGCGGGAUGAAGGCCCUACGGGUUGUAAACCGCUUUUCCCCGGGAAGAAUAACCCCGAUGAGUCGGGGAUGCCGGUACCGGGGAAUAAGGAUCGGCUAACUCCGUG
This 485-nucleotide ribosomal RNA is filed under the name uncultured bacterium. RNAcentral's name for it is "bacterial SSU rRNA". It matches the Rfam family "Bacterial small subunit ribosomal RNA", at positions 28 to 507 of the family's 1533-position model. The record is from RNAcentral.